RNAcentral lists this ribosomal RNA (425 nucleotides) under uncultured bacterium. Its description in RNAcentral is "bacterial SSU rRNA". It matches the Rfam family "Bacterial small subunit ribosomal RNA", at positions 29 to 498 of the family's 1533-position model. The record is from RNAcentral.
AACGAACGCUGGCGGCAGGCUUAACACAUGCAAGUCGAGCGCCGUAGCAAUAACGGGAGCGGCGCACGGGUGAGUAACGCGUGGGAACCUGUCCCGCGGUACGGCACAACCCAGGGAAACUUGGCUAAUACCGUAUACGCACUAUGGUGGAAAGAAUUUCGCCGUGGGAGGGGCCCGCGUAGGAUUAGCUAGUUGGUGAGGUAAUGGCUCACCAAGGCUUUCGAUCCUUAGCUGGUCUGAGAGGAUGAUCAGCCACACUGGGACUGAGACACGGCCCAGACUCCUACGGGAGGCAGCAGUGGGGAAUAUUGGACAAUGGGCGCAAGCCUGAUCCAGCCAUGCCGCGUGAAUGAUGAAGGUCUUAGGAUUGUAAAAUUCUUUCACCGGGGACGAUAAUGACGGUACCCGGAGAAGAAGCCCCGGCU